ACCCGGAAGCGGCUCGGGCGGGCGCAGGGUCGCGGGUGUAGGGUGGCGGCGCUCCGCCUUUCACCGACGCACCUGGGAGAAACAGACCGGAGGACGCGGGUGGCGCGGAGCACGAGAAACAACGAGUUUCUGUCUAGAUCGUGGGGGACCCAAGCCCGGGGUUGCGUCCAAGGUCGGGGAUGGAGAGGACGCGACCCCCGCGGCAGUCGAGAUGGCCUUUUUAAAAUUCUAUAUUUGAGAAGGAGUCUCGCGCUGUCGCCCAGGCUGGAGCGCAAUGGCGCGAAAUCGGCUCAUUGCAGCCUCGACGUCCAGGACUCGAGCGAUCCUCCCGCCUCAGCCUCUCGAGAAGGUGGGACCACCGGUGGGCACCGCCACGCCCGGCUAAUUUUUAUUAAUGUUUUGCUAGAGCCGGGAUCUUGCUGUGUUGUCUGGCUGGUCUUAAACUCCUGGGCUCCAGCGAUCCUCCCUCCUCGGCCUCCCAAAGCGCUGGGAUUACAGGCAUGAGCCACACUGCGCCUGGCCAAGCUAGUGCAUUUUAAUUGACCUUCACUUCAUGUCAAUUUAUUUUUUACACUAUUCCAUUUAGUCCUCAGAACAGUUCUUUAGAAUUGGGUAUUGCUCCGUUUACGUGGGAAACAUAGCAGCGAGGUAACGGGCUGGGUCCCGUGCUGGGAACGGGAGCCCUGCUCAUCUGACUGCUUGCACCCUGUGCUGUCUAUGCUGGGCGUACUGGGGGGCGUUAGGGAAGAGACCACAGGUACGAUGCAAUGCCUGUCCUCAAGGAGCCCAUUGUUCUCAUGGGAACACAAAGCUGACACAUCGAGAACAAACUAUGGAACAGGCUGUGGCUGAGGGCCAUGAAGGAAGGCUGCCAAGUCCGGGCCCAGCCAGGUAGCAGCCACACCUCUAUCUACCCUGCUCCCCAACACUGGGCACCAGCACUCACCUGCCCAGGACCCACAGUGAAAACCCACCCACAAAAAAUGCACUUUGGAGAAGAGUAGCAGGUCCCAGGCAGAGCCAGGGCCACCUCUCAGAAAGGACAUCAAGUUUCUCGCCCAGCUGAGAGAUGGACAGAUGACCGCACAAGCCACUCACAGCCCAAGGUGAUGGACUCUAGGAUAUAUUCAAGGCUGAGCAACUGGCUUGAAGUCGUGUCUACUUACAUAUUCAAAGACCUAGUGAGCAUUCACAAGUCAUUCUUUUUACCCUCCAACUAGCCGUGUUCUCAACCAGUCUACCUAGGAAUGCUGUUGGCUGUGAAAACUCCAGAGGCUGGUAUCUUUAGAGUUCCUUCAGGGUGCAUUCAGCAUCUGAGCCUAGCGACUCUUGAGGUGAAAGUGCUCACGUUUUUUUUUUGGUGAGAGAGUCUCACUCUGUCGCCCAGGCUGGAGUGCAGUGGCGCAGUCUCAAAGUGCUCAUCUUUAUGUACUUUGGAUGCCGGUGAAUGCCUAUUGUUUCAGCCAGCUGGAUCACUUUACCUGUUAACCAUUCCAAUGAGUGGCCAGAAGGCUCCUCUCCAGGCCUCACAGAGGGAAACACUGGUCUAGUGAGAGACCUGCGUCCUGCCCAUCAGGACCGAAGCGGCACGCGUGAGGAUCCUGCAGGCCAAGAGACAACAGCGAUUACAAACCCCAGUCCCAGCCUUGCAGCUGACCUUGCAGGUGACGCCCUGCCUGGGUGUCUCGGUGCAGCUGCACAUCAGGGGCCUCUGCUGGACAGAAGCUCUGAGUCCACACUUGGCCCCCAGGCGCUGGAGCUGGAGCACUGCCACGAGAGGGGAUGCUGCCGUGGCUGCGCCAGCUUCAGCCCUUUCCCUGCACCGAGAUGUCCCAGUGAGCGGCUGGGUGCUCACAGUUCCCGUUGGGCCAUCAGAGGAAGAUCAAAGAUCAACCCUCCCCCAUGGGCUCCUGCCUGCCUGCCAGGUUUUCCUGUCUCCUGGAGGACAAGGAUGAGGGCUUUCCACUUGAGUCUCCCUGGUGGAGCCCAGCUCCUGACAUACCUGGUAAAAGUUCUCAAGAGAAGAACAUGGAGGAGGAAUGUGGAUAACAACCCUGGCUGCCUGUGUGUUCCAAGCUAGGAAGAUGUAAUGUCCCCACAAACGGGGUAAAUGGCUUGCCUGCGUCACAGCUGUCUCAAGCCCAGGCCCUGGGUGCCAGCCCAAGCCCAAGGACUAGGUCCAGAGCCACACAGCGCCAGGCCACAUCCGCCUCACCUGGGACCUUUUGUGGGGUACAGUCUCCGGCCCCACCCAGACCUGCUGAAGGAGAGACCCCAUGGCAAGGACUCAGCCACCUGCAGUUUCAUAAGCCCCCAGUGGGUUCCUAGGCAUGAAGACCACCGGUUAGAGGCUGAACUGGCAGGAACCUGUCUCCAGCCCCUUCUCACCCCAGCCGGGCCCUGCCUCAGAGGCAGCACCCAGGACGUGGCCAUGACCCGUGGACUCCACUCAAUCCCUCUUCUCCAGGAGCCAUGCAAAGUGUCAGCCAGCCAGGCCCCUGGAAGGCAGUCAUCACCUCUUAAGGCAUUGCGGGUGUCGGUCCUGCAACUGCCAGGUGCAGCACACGACCCAUGUCCGGUGUUCGAUAGCAGGGAGCCAUGACCUGGCAACGAUUCCACGCUCAAAGGGGCACCCGGGGGGCCCUGGGUCGGGGCGGAUCAGCUUUCCCUGGGCACAUCUGCCUCAUUCCAGAUCUCCAGGGCUCAUGUCUGUGACAGGGAGGGAAGGCUCUGCCCUGGCCUUCCGUCAGCUCUGCCAGUGCAGGCUGGGCAGCCUGGGCUUUAGAGCUGGCUUCUGCCCACACUUUCUCCGUGAAAGGAAAACAACUAUGAGUCUGCCAAACGCAUCUCAGAUGCGUUUUAAAAAAUUCUGGUCCCCGCUCUCUGUCCCAUCAUCUGCCUCGGGGACUUCCUCUCUCCGUGGUUCUCACCCCAUACUCUGUCACUGCCACAUUUUCACCUGGGCCUGGCCUUUGUCUC
Molecule: long non-coding RNA, 2979 nt
Filed under: Homo sapiens (human)
Lineage: Eukaryota; Metazoa; Chordata; Mammalia; Primates; Hominidae
Description: long intergenic non-protein coding RNA 1547
Source: RNAcentral